This 253-nucleotide ribosomal RNA is filed under the name uncultured bacterium. Its description in RNAcentral is "partial 16S ribosomal RNA". It matches the Rfam family "Bacterial small subunit ribosomal RNA", at positions 524 to 776 of the family's 1533-position model. The record is from RNAcentral.
UACGAAGGGUGCUAGCGUUGUUCGGAAUUACUGGGCGUAAAGCGCGCGUAGGCGGCUAUUCAAGUCAGAGGUGAAAGCCCUGGGCUCAACCCAGGAAUUGCCUUUGAAACUGUAUAGCUUGAGUGUCGGAGGGGAUAGCGGAAUUCCUAAUGUAGAGGUGAAAUUCGUAGAUAUUAGGAGGAACACCGGUGGCGAAGGCGGCUAUCUGGACGACAACUGACGCUGAGGCGCGAAAGCGUGGGGAGCAAACAGG